RNAcentral lists this ribosomal RNA (497 nucleotides) under uncultured bacterium. RNAcentral's name for it is "partial 16S ribosomal RNA". It matches the Rfam family "Bacterial small subunit ribosomal RNA", at positions 28 to 507 of the family's 1533-position model. The record is from RNAcentral.
GACGAACGCUGGCGGCGUGCCUAAUACAUGCAAGUAGAACGCUGAAGAGAGGAGCUUGCUCUUCUUGGAUGAGUUGCGAACGGGUGAGUAACGCGUAGGUAACCUGCCUUGUAGCGGGGGAUAACUAUUGGAAACGAUAGCUAAUACCGCAUAACAAUGGAUGACACAUGUCAUUUAUUUGGAAGGGGCAAUUGCUCCACUACAAGAUGGACCUGCGUUGUAUUAGCUAGUAGGUGAGGUAAUGGCUCACCUAGGCGACGAUACAUAGCCGACCUGAGAGGGUGAUCGGCCACACUGGGACUGGGACACGGCCCAGACUCCUACGGGAGGCAGCAGUAGGGGAUCUUCGGCAAUGGGGGCAACCCUGACCGAGCAACGCCGCGUGAGUGAAGAAGGUUUUCGGAUCGGAAAGCUCUGUUGUAAGUCAAGAACGGGUGUGAGAGUGGAAAGUUCACACUGUGACGGUAGCUUACCAGAAAGGGACGGCUAACUACGUG